This 253-nucleotide ribosomal RNA is filed under the name uncultured bacterium. RNAcentral describes it as "partial 16S ribosomal RNA". It matches the Rfam family "Bacterial small subunit ribosomal RNA", at positions 524 to 776 of the family's 1533-position model. The record is from RNAcentral.
UACGGGGGGAGCAAGCGUUGUUCGGAUUUACUGGGCGUAAAGGGCGCGUAGGCGGCCUGUUAAGUCGAACGUGAGAUCCCCGGGCUCAACCCGGGAACUGCGUCCGAUACUGGCAGGCUUGAAUCCGGGAGAGGGAUGCGGAAUUCCAGGUGUAGCGGUGAAAUGCGCAGAUAUCAGGAAGAACACCCGUGGCGAAGGCGGCUCUCUGGGACGGUACUGACGCUGAGACGCGAAAGCGUGGGGAGCGAACAGG